Molecule: unclassified non-coding RNA, 574 nt
Filed under: Melitaea cinxia (Glanville fritillary)
Lineage: Eukaryota; Metazoa; Arthropoda; Insecta; Lepidoptera; Nymphalidae
Description: misc RNA ENSMCXG00005009009.1
Source: RNAcentral
GCGGUCAUAUCAACGCAUAAUGUAGUCCCAUAGCGACGAAAUAGUACUUUUAAAUUCAAUAAUAUACCAGUUUAAAGUUUAGUGUAUAGUUACUUAGUGUUCUCGGCACGAAAUGCAAAAAGUAUACGACGAGCAGUUUAUGGUUACAACUUAUUUAUUUCUGUAUUGAAAUACGAUUUAAAAUUAGUUUUACUUGUUAUACAAAAUUGAACGUUUAUUUGUGUUUUAUUCUACUACUUUAUCACAUAAAUAGCUAAAGUGUUUGAAACUCUUUUUAUAAGUACGUAUUAUACAUGAAAUGAAGAAAUUUAAUAAAAUGUGAAGUGCUUCCCCGAAACAGAAAUAGCCUGAAAAACUUUUCAAUAGACACGUUAAGUUUUUGUUACUUUCGGGACGACAGCAGAGUGACGUGACCGGUCAUUACUGAAAGGGUACGAAGUUCGACGACCGAGCAAAUGGGCAAAGAAUUUGGAUCGUGCACUUAAAAGACCUGGUAGCGUAUAGUAUUGCUUAUACUUUGUAUACAAAGUAAGUGCUAGUGAAUAAAUCGAAGCUAAUUGAAAUUUCAACAAAC